GGGUGUAGCGCAGCUAGGUAGCGCGCCUGAUUCGGAUUCAGGAGGUCGUCAGUUCAAUUCUGACCGCCCA
RNAcentral lists this transfer RNA (70 nucleotides) under marine sediment metagenome. RNAcentral's name for it is "tRNA-Pro". It matches the Rfam family "tRNA". From Rfam's summary of the family: Transfer RNA (tRNA) molecules are approximately 80 nucleotides in length. Their secondary structure includes four short double-helical elements and three loops (D, anti-codon, and T loops). The record is from RNAcentral.